GGCUACCGCUAUUGGAGUUCGAUUAAGCCAUGCGAGUCGCGAGUCUUAGGGACUCGGCGUACCGCUCAGUAACACGUGGGUAACCUGCCCUAUGCUGGGGGAUAACCUCGGGAAACUGAGAAUAAUACCCCAUAGUUCACCACGCCUGGAACGGUGGGUGGAUCAAAGCUCCGGCGGCAUAGGAUGGGCCUGCGGCGUAUCAGGUUGUAGGGGGUGUAAUGUACCCUCUAGCCCUCUACGCGUACGGGUGUUGAGAGACAUCGCCCGGAGAUGGAUUCUGAGACACGAAUCCAGACCCCACGGGGUGCAGCAGGCGCGAAAACUUGGCAAUGCGAGAAAUCGUGACCAGGGAACUCCAAGUGCAUCGGGUAAGACCGAUGCUUUUCUUGACUCUUCAAAGGUCUUGGAAUAAGGGGUGGGUAAGGACGGUGCCAGCCGCCGCGGUAAUACCGGCGCCCCAAGUGGUAGUCGCUUUUAUUGGGCCUAAAACGUCCGUAGCCGGUCUGGUACAUUCGUGGGUAAAUCAACCAGCUCAACUGGUUGAAUUCUGCGAGCACGGCCAGACUUGGGACCGGGAGAGGUGUGGGGUACUCUCAGGGUAGGGGUAAAAUCCUGUCAUCCUGAGAGGACCACCUGUUGCGAAGGCGCCACACUAGAACGGAUCCGACGGUCAGGGACGAAGCCUAGGGGCACGAACCGGAUUAGAUACCCGGGUAGUCCUAGGUGUAAACGCUGUGGACUUGAUGUUGGGGGCGCUCCGAGCGCACUCAGUGUCGAAGCGAAGGUGAUAAGUCCACUGCCUGGGGAGUACGGUCGCAAGGCUGAAACUUAAAGGAAUUGGCGGGGGAGCACCGCAACCUGAGGAUUGUGCGGUUU
This 876-nucleotide ribosomal RNA is filed under the name uncultured archaeon. RNAcentral's name for it is "bacterial SSU rRNA". It matches the Rfam family "Archaeal small subunit ribosomal RNA", at positions 22 to 903 of the family's 1478-position model. The record is from RNAcentral.